RNAcentral lists this ribosomal RNA (826 nucleotides) under uncultured bacterium. RNAcentral's name for it is "bacterial SSU rRNA". It matches the Rfam family "Bacterial small subunit ribosomal RNA", at positions 8 to 867 of the family's 1533-position model. The record is from RNAcentral.
AGAGUUUGAUCCUGGCUCAGAAUCAACGCUGGCGGCGCGCCUAACACAUGCAAGUCGCACGAGAAAGUGGAGCAAUCCAUGAGUACAGUGGCGUACGGGUGAGUAACACGUGGAUCAUCUGCCCUGGAGUGGGGAAUAACGCUGGGAAACCGGCGCUAAUACCGCAUAUUCCCGAGAGGGGAAAGCAGCAAUGCGCUCGAGGAGGAAUCCGCGGCCGAUUAGCUAGUUGGCAGGGUAAAAGCCUACCAAGGCUGCGAUCGGUAGCCGGCCUGAGAGGGCACACGGCCACACUGGCACUGAAACACGGGCCAGACUCCUACGGGAGGCAGCAGUGGGGAAUCUUGCACAAUGGGGGAAACCCUGAUGCAGCGACGCCGCGUGAGCGAUGAAGCCCUUCGGGGUGUAAAGCUCUUUCGGCAGGGACGAUUAUGACGGUGCCUGCAGAAGCAGCUGCGGCUAACUACGUGCCAGCAGCCGCGGUAAUACGUAGGCAGCAAGCGUUGUUCGGAGUUACUGGGCGUAAAGGGUGUGUAGGCGGCCUGUUAAGUUCCGUGUGAAAUCUCCCGGCUCAACUGGGAGGGUGCGCGGAAAACUGGCGGGCUAGAGUGCGGGAUGGGAGAGUAGAAUUCCUGGUGUAGCGGUGAAAUGCGUAGAUAUCAGGAGGAAUACCGGUUGUGUAGACGGCUCUCUGGACCGUAACUGACGCUGAGACACGAAAGCGUGGGUAGCAAACAGGAUUAGAUACCCUGGUAGUCCACGCCCUAAACGAUGCAUAUUUGGUGUAGGUCAUUCAGUUGAUCUGUGCCGGAGCUAACGCGUUAAAUAU